GGUUCUGGCUCAGUGGUAGAGCACUUGCCUAACAUGUGUGAGGCACUGGGUUCAAUUCUCAGCACCA
RNAcentral lists this transfer RNA (67 nucleotides) under Marmota monax (woodchuck). RNAcentral describes it as "tRNA.Val". Lineage: Eukaryota; Metazoa; Chordata; Mammalia; Rodentia; Sciuridae. The record is from RNAcentral.